This is a long non-coding RNA of Anthonomus grandis grandis, 634 nucleotides long. RefSeq lists it as uncharacterized. The record is from RefSeq and is a predicted model, not a curated record. The transcript is spliced from 2 exons. Lineage: Eukaryota; Metazoa; Arthropoda; Insecta; Coleoptera; Curculionidae.
CUCUUUUUUAAAAUGUCAUAUAAUUUUGAAUAUUACUUUAACAACGCUUUACAUUAUAUUAGUUGCAUAAAUACGACAAAUCUAAUGAAAGAUGAUUUUUUUUUAUUGUUUACCUCAAUGUUUGGUUUUUCUCCCUCGUAUGAAGAAGUUGAGACAGUUUUUAAGGAUGUCGAAGUUAGAGACCUGAUAUCUAUUAGGAAUUAUUUAAGGACAAGAUAUUUAUCUUUUAAAAAUAUCGACUUACAUAUUUUAGAGAUGUAUAAAUUAUUAGAUAUAGAAAAUAAAGGAUAUAUUUCCAGUCAAGAUUUCAUUAAUCUCUCUAACAAGGGCCAGGCCAGAAUGCGCAAGGAUUUUUUUAAUCACUUAGCACACGCUACCGGAGGAUACAACGUAGUUGAUUAUUUCACGUUUAAGUCCUUUUAUUUAAGCUCUUCAUUAGAUUAUAUGGGUUGAUCAAUAAAUGUUUUGUAGGUCAAAUCUUUUGAUAAAGCUAGAUCUGUUGAAAAUAGAUUUUUUCCUAGCUUUAAAAAUUACGUUAGUUUCAUGAUAAAGUAUAAAUAAAGAAUUUAUUUUUAGUUAAAAACAUUCACAAAAUUGUUUUAGCAUUUAAUUUCAAUAUAUAAGUUAUAUAAUC